Molecule: non-coding RNA, 1197 nt
Organism: Microcebus murinus (gray mouse lemur)
Lineage: Eukaryota; Metazoa; Chordata; Mammalia; Primates; Cheirogaleidae
Source: RefSeq, a predicted model, not a curated record
GUGAUUCAGGACACCAAGGUGAAAGCUACAAUGCCUUUUAUGACCUAACCUCGGCAGUCACACACUGUCGCUCACACUGCCUUCUACUGGGGUCAGACAGCUCUGAUCCACGGAGGGAGGUGACUGCACAGGGAAUGAAUACCAGAAACCCAGGACCAAAGGGGGCUUCUGAGAGUAAAGCUAGCCCAAGUGAUGUGACGGCGUGGGAGAGAAUACAGCCCCCACUUGAGAGGGCUGCAGGGAAAGCAGUGUCCUCAGGGGAAAGCCAGGUUUCAGUUAUACAGCAAAGUGAAGAGAGACUUUAGAGAAUUUUCAGAAAAAAACACAGAGAACUUGGGCUGUGGGGCCUUUUGUUAUCUGAUCUUGAACUCCACAGCACACCAAGGAAGGAGUCUGGGAGUUGGGGACAGGUGGUGACGCCAGUCGUGUUGAGGAAAUAAACCAGCAGGACCACGUGCUGUCCCCAGGGCUGCCCCUUUAUUUCGUCCCAAGGAGCCCAGAGGCCAGCGAAGGCUGCACAUUGAAGAUCCUUUCUAUAACAAGAGGCAAAAGUGAUCAAAAUGGGCCUGGCGAGAUGGAGAGAAGACAAACUCUCAAUGUGGAGAGUCUAAUGGGAAACCACCAAUCCAUAAAGCUGGGAGCGAACUCAAAGAAAGCCCAUCCCAUGACCUCACUCCAAAGGGAUCAGAACAUGAGUUGGGAAGCACAUACCUGAACAUUUAUGGUGCCUUGCAGAUUCCCUUUUGAAGAAAGACUUGCUGCCCAGCUGCCAGGAAUGUGGUCAGCAGACAACCUCCAGCUAUCACCUUCUGGGUCUGCAGAUGCUGGGAAGCACCUAAUCGGAAGUGACAGCCUCACAGGCAGCCUGUAUCUGGGAACGAGGAGAGGCCAGGGUAUAUGGGCCUGGCCAUUUCAGGCUGAAAUAUCUCUGGAGAUAUUUACUUUAGAGCUUCUGCCCAGGAGUGGCCUGCUUUGCACUUGACUUCUUCUCUGCCCCACAAUGCUUUUGCCCCCUUCCUUUCUAAAUUAUUCCUAAUUAACAAUUUGUACCCUGAUCGCCAUCUCAGCGUCUGCUCCUAAAGAAUCCAACCUGCAUUAAUACCAUGCUUAGGGAAGUACUGUCAUAAAUCAUUUUUUAGCAACUAUCAAAAGAGCUUUAUAAGGACUUUUAAAUAAAGCCUACAAUUUAAAAAUAAA